CAACCCGCGAGGCGCGGUCUGGAGGAAGCCGCUGGCAAAGCUGCGAGCUGAUGAAUAAGAACAUCAUAUGAGGCGUAAGCCGGAGGUGAGUUGGCACAAGACGACGAAGCCGCGUGAUCUGACGGCCACCGUAAAUGAUGCAGUUGUGCGGUGAAAGUUCAUGCU
Marinobacter sp. ELB17 is the source of this 165-nucleotide non-coding RNA. Lineage: Bacteria; Pseudomonadati; Pseudomonadota; Gammaproteobacteria; Pseudomonadales; Marinobacteraceae. The record is from Rfam.